This 434-nucleotide long non-coding RNA is filed under the name Ananas comosus (pineapple). RNAcentral's name for it is "long non-coding RNA (ACOM_LNC028424)". The record is from RNAcentral. Lineage: Eukaryota; Viridiplantae; Streptophyta; Magnoliopsida; Poales; Bromeliaceae.
GAAAAAUUUUAGAAUCACUAAUUAUAUUAGUGACAUAGUGUCCCCAACCAAUUAAAUAAUUUUUUUAGUUUAUUUGUUCCAUCAUGAGUAUAAAAAAAUAUUUUUGUUAUACUUUUUUGUUAAAUGAAGAGAUUUAGUUGGCUUGUUAUUAAUGAUGUAGUGCAAGUGUGACACAUAAACUUUCUCGUGAAGUAGCUCCACCCUCACAUAUGGAUUUUUUUUUAUUUAUAUAACGAUCAAACCUGCUAGCGAUAAUAACUCGUUUGUUGGAUUCAAACUAUUAGCCCAAAAUACUUAAGUUCAAUUAUUACUAAUAGGGUGCGUGACGAUGUAAGAAUAUUAAGGUGUUGUUGUUUAUUUAGAUGGUGUUUGGUUCCUUAAAAAUCAUAAAAAUAUAUUUUUUAGAAAAAAAAAUUUGGAAAAGCAUCAUGAAU